This 72-nucleotide transfer RNA is filed under the name Anolis bahorucoensis. RNAcentral's name for it is "tRNA-Asn". Lineage: Eukaryota; Metazoa; Chordata; Lepidosauria; Squamata; Anolidae. The record is from RNAcentral.
CGAAUAGAAGCCCGCUGGAUUGGGUGUUUAGCUGUUAACUAAUUUGUUGUGGGAUCAAAGCCCGCCUAUUCA